Long non-coding RNA from Sapajus apella (tufted capuchin), 1432 nucleotides. RefSeq lists it as uncharacterized. The transcript has 4 exons. The record is from RefSeq and is a predicted model, not a curated record. Lineage: Eukaryota; Metazoa; Chordata; Mammalia; Primates; Cebidae.
GAGACUCCCUUCCUUGAUGAGGGACGUGCUCCGGGAUCCCACCCCGCCCCCAGCCAUUGAAGAGUGGCCAAAUGCUGGUCCCAAAUGACCUGAUUUGAUUUUUUAAGUGUAAACCGUGGGGUUGGUUCUUGGGUGAAGAUUCCCCUGCUCAUAGCUAUUAGGCUAGUGUUCGGAAGUUUUCAGUCCUUGUUUUUCCGUUGACUUGGCUGCCUAUGUCAGUCUAGGAGAGCUGGAAGCAGCAAGCGCCCAUAGAAAGCCUGUGGUUAAAGCUCAAACGACAUAGUGUAGUCUCGACUAAUUGAAUCAACACGUAUGGAUAGCAACAUUCUUUUUAGGUCCUCUUCUGGAAAGGGUCCAUUUGGCCAAAAGCAGCCUUUCACUGUUACUCAACCUCCUGAAAAGUAACCAUAGUAACUCACCUCUCUUUUGAUGGGAUCCUCCUUAUUGGCUGCCUAUCUUCCUUUGGAAAGCGCAUCUCUCUAAAUAUAGAAGAUGAUGAGAUCCGUAAGCAUACAUCCAUAUAGAAAAGGUGCAGUUAAACACGGCCCUUUAAAGAAAAGCUGUCUUCAAAGAAAAAGUAGCAUUUGGUGAUUUCAAUUCUUGUGAGAAAGAAUGUGCAUUCCAAAGAAAGACCAGGCUUGUCUGUUUUGAGUUAACUGCUGGUUGUUACUUUAGAGGGAAUACUUCCUGAAAUUAUAUAAAAUCUGGCGUUAAAAUUUAAGAAUUAUUCUGAUUUUUUAAGAAAAAAUCAUCCUACUGAUAAUCUUCCAAAAAUAAUCUCCCAAGUAAAUAACUGAUCUCAGGUAACCAUUCAUGAGCCUGAGGCUGUGAGAAAUGCUUGCUGUGCAAAGGGGAACUCUCACCAGAUUUUCUGAAGCUGUUCUAGAAAUACACUUUUCGGAUUGAUUCAGCAUUACCAGCUUAUCCAACAAAAGUAUUAACAUAUACAUUAACAACGUCGAAAGUAGCCUACUUUAAGAGAAAAUAUGCAGAAGAAGAAGAUUUACAUCAAGAUUACCAUGGCUAUUUUCCAAAACACCUGAUAUUGCCUGAGGACAGAACUUGCAUUCUCAAACUUUCUCUGGAGAAGCUCAGGUUUCUUGAAGACCCAGAAACCUACUUAAGAAGGUCUGUGUUAAUUAACAAUUUGCUGAGGAAGAUACAUCUAGAGACGGAGAAAGAGAGCUAUGAAUACUUUAAAGAAGCUCCCUGUUGUAAGACUUCAUAUUCUGAUACAAGAAAACGGCUGAAGUUUAUGGUACAGGAAUGCUGUUCUCAGUCUCUCUAUUAUGAAGAACUGCAUUCAUAUCAUAUUGUGCCUUAUGCUUCGGAGAAUGCCAUUUAUGAAAUGGGCUACACUAGCAGCCACUUGGAGCAAAAUUCUCAGUUGCUUAUUUAUAAAAUGAAUUAAAGUAACUGUUAAGUUCAUUGA